GGCGUAGGUGGCCUAACAUGUCAACUGUGAAAACCCGGAGCUCAACUCCGGACUUGCAGUUGAAACUGGUAGGCUUGAGGACGGUAGAGGAAGACGGAACUGCCAGUGUAGGGGUAAAAUCCUUAGAUAUUGGCAGGAACGCCGGUGACGAAGGUGGUUUUCUGGGCCGGUUCUGACACUGAUGCUCGAAAGCCAGGGGAGCGAACG
This 207-nucleotide ribosomal RNA is filed under the name uncultured Mesotoga sp. Its description in RNAcentral is "partial 16S ribosomal RNA". It matches the Rfam family "Bacterial small subunit ribosomal RNA", at positions 568 to 774 of the family's 1533-position model. The record is from RNAcentral. Lineage: Bacteria; Thermotogati; Thermotogota; Thermotogae; Kosmotogales; Kosmotogaceae.